AAUCAACGCUGGCGGCGUGCCUCAGACAUGCAAGUCGAACGCGAAAGAGGGCUUCGGCCCUUGAGUAGAGUGGCGCACGGGUGAGUAACACGUGGGUAAUUUACCUUUGGGUGGGAUAACAGUCGGAACGGCUGCUAAUACCGCAUAAUGCAGCGGUUCCACAUGGAGACAGUUGUUAAAGCGGGGGAGGCGAGCAAUACGCCCUCCGCGCCUGAAGAGAAGCCCGCCGGCAGAUUAGCUAGUUGGUGGAGGUAAUGGCUCACCAAGGCUUCGAUCUGUAGCCGGCC
RNAcentral lists this ribosomal RNA (287 nucleotides) under uncultured bacterium. Its description in RNAcentral is "partial 16S ribosomal RNA". It matches the Rfam family "Bacterial small subunit ribosomal RNA", at positions 32 to 292 of the family's 1533-position model. The record is from RNAcentral.